Molecule: long non-coding RNA, 248 nt
Filed under: Lathyrus oleraceus (garden pea)
Lineage: Eukaryota; Viridiplantae; Streptophyta; Magnoliopsida; Fabales; Fabaceae
Description: Pisum sativum (pea) long non-coding RNA (PSAT_LNC029177)
Source: RNAcentral
GUGGCUCUUUAGCUCAAGCUUGCUGAGAUUCAGUGUGAAAUCUUAGUAAGCUUAGAAUUCUUGGAGCUUUAAUGAAUAUUUUGGAUUUGUUUUCUGCAGAGUAACGGCGCUCUAGGAAGGAGUCUUUUAUGAAAUAUUGCUCUGUUGUUCUCUAGGUUUUUUUAGAAGAAAUCUCUUGUUAUGCAUAUGCUGUGUUUUUGUUAACCUCUCAUCUGUUGUUAUUAUGAAGAAAGGAUUCAGCCUUAAAA